ACUCCUACGGGAGGCAGCAGUGGGGAAUAUUGGACAAUGGGGCGCAAGCCUGAUCCAGCCACGCCGCGUGAGUGAUGAAGGCCUUCGGGUCGUAAAGACUCUGUGGGGAGGGACGAACGGCGCCAUGAAGAGUGGCGAUUGACGGUACCUCCUUAGCAAGCACCGGCUAACUUCGUGCCAGCAGCCGCGGUAAU
Molecule: ribosomal RNA, 194 nt
Filed under: uncultured bacterium
Lineage: Bacteria
Description: partial 16S ribosomal RNA
Rfam family: Bacterial small subunit ribosomal RNA
Source: RNAcentral